This 250-nucleotide ribosomal RNA is filed under the name uncultured bacterium. Its description in RNAcentral is "partial 16S ribosomal RNA". It matches the Rfam family "Bacterial small subunit ribosomal RNA", at positions 524 to 773 of the family's 1533-position model. The record is from RNAcentral.
UACGGAGGGAGCUAGCGUUUUUCGGAUUUACUGGGCGUAAAGAGCACGUAGGCGGUUUGCUAAGUUGAAAGUGAAAUCCCAGAGCUUAACUCUGGAACUGCUUUCAAAACUAGCUGGCUAGAGUAUGAUAUGGGACAGUGGAAUUCCUAGUGUAGAGGUGAAAUUCUUAGAUAUUAGGAGGAACACCGGGGGCGAAGGCGACUGUCUGGAUCAUUACUGACGCUGAGGUGCGAAAGCGUGGGGAGCAAAC